UAAAUAUUUAUGGUUUAAUUAAUUUGAUUUUAAAUUUAUUUUACAUAUAAAUUUUUGUGUUAAUUUUAAUUAUUUUAAUAAUAAAAAUUUUUGUAGUAAUUAAUAUUAAAUAUUUAAGAAAUUAAGAUUUAGUAAUAUUUAAAUUAUUAACAAAUUUUGUGCCAGCAGUUGCGGUUAUACAAAAAAUAAAUUAAAUUUUAUUAGUGUGUAAUAAAUAUAAAUAAUAUUUAAAUUAAAUAUAAAAUUAUUAGGUGAAAUUUUAAUUUUAUUAAAAUUUAUUUAAAUUAUAUGAUUUAUUAAAUUUUAUAAUAAACUAGGAUUAGAUACCCUAUUAUUAAAAAUUUAAAUUUAUAAUACUAAAAUAUUAAAUAAUAAUUUAUUGAAACUUAAAUAAUUUGGCGGUAUUUUAGUUUAUUUAGAGGAAUCUGUCUAAUAAUUGAUAAUCCACGAAUAAAUUUACUUAAUUUAUAAUUUUAUAUAUCGUUGUUAAAAAAAUAUUUUUAGAUAAAAAUAAUAUUUAAAAAUUUUAAAUUUAAAUUAACUCAGAUCAAGAUGUAGAUAAUAAUUAAGAAUAUGAUGGAUUACAAUAAAAUUAUUUAAAUGGAGAAUAAUAUGAAAAUUUAUUUGAAGGUGGAUUUAAAUGUAAUUUUAUUUAUUUUAAUAAAAUGAUUUAAUAUUAAAAUAUGUACAUAUUGCCCGUCGCUUUCAUUAAUAAAUUGAAAUAAGUCGUAACAAAGUAGAGGUACUGGA
RNAcentral lists this non-coding RNA (750 nucleotides) under Baronia brevicornis. The record is from RNAcentral. Lineage: Eukaryota; Metazoa; Arthropoda; Insecta; Lepidoptera; Papilionidae.